This 301-nucleotide ribosomal RNA is filed under the name uncultured bacterium. Its description in RNAcentral is "partial 16S ribosomal RNA". It matches the Rfam family "Bacterial small subunit ribosomal RNA", at positions 509 to 809 of the family's 1533-position model. The record is from RNAcentral.
CAGUCGCCGCGGUAAUACGAAGGGUGCAAGCGUUAAUCGGAAUUACUGGGCGUAAAGCGUGCGUAGGCGGUGAGUUAAGUCUGCUGUGAAAUCCCCGGGCUCAACCUGGGAAUGGCAGUGGAUACUGGCUCGCUAGAGUGUGUCAGAGGAUGGUGGAAUUCCCGGUGUAGCGGUGAAAUGCGUAGAGAUCGGGAGGAACAUCAGUGGCGAAGGCGGCCAUCUGGGACAACACUGACGCUGAGGCACGAAAGCGUGGGGAGCAAACAGGAUUAGAUACCCCGGUAGUCCCUGUCUAUUAUAA